UAAAUACUUUAUCCAAUACUUAUGUGCAACAUACAAGAACGCCAUCUACAGCAACAUGCAUGUAUGUACCUCUCCAGUCAGCAGGGACGUUGAGCUUCGUAAUCUCUGCUCCCCAUUGGUGCGAGGUGGAUAUCACAAUCCUGCAACAACAGCAAACAAGAGGCCAUUCAGUUCUUUCAUUCAAGCUUGGACCAUCAACCAGUGAGGAUUCUUCCAAGUGAAUAGCUGAAUAAACUCUGACUUCACUAUGAACAAAUACUGAACUAGUUGCUACUUCACUAGUUUGGCAGUGCUUCAGGAAGACAGGAAAUACCAGUAGUUACCAUUUACCUUUCAGUAGGGCAAAAUUCAAUGGAGGAAAUUGGGGAGCCAAGAUGGACCUUCUUCAUCAAGUGAGAAACUUGCAUCUUCUGUACAUCGGCAACACAACAGUCUCCAUCACGGCUUCCUCUAGAUAAAGAUGAAAAAUGUAUCCAUGUCAGUACCACUUCACAGCCAAAAGAAGGAUGUCGCGUCGACGCGGAAGGCUCAGCAGAUCUAGACAAGCACAUUAAGUCGGACGAUGAACAAGUAGUAUGACAUGCAGACAAGCUCUUUUUGUUACGAAAUGUACGCAGAAUAGCAGAUGGAUUGUAGCUGAGAAGUGUGAGAAAAGACGAUUCAGAAAUUGUUUGAAUUCUGGAAAGGAAAAACUAUCCUGAAUACCUCAGACUUCGGCGAUGCAGGUAUGCCUAGGAAUGCUAAAUAUAGAAGUACUGUCACAGCCAGUAUUACAUGAGAUGCACCACCACAU
Molecule: non-coding RNA, 793 nt
Organism: Triticum urartu
Lineage: Eukaryota; Viridiplantae; Streptophyta; Magnoliopsida; Poales; Poaceae
Source: RefSeq, a predicted model, not a curated record